RNAcentral lists this ribosomal RNA (301 nucleotides) under uncultured bacterium. RNAcentral describes it as "partial 16S ribosomal RNA". It matches the Rfam family "Bacterial small subunit ribosomal RNA", at positions 509 to 808 of the family's 1533-position model. The record is from RNAcentral.
CAGCCGCCGCGGGAAUACGAAGGGUGCAAGCGUUACUCGGAAUUACUGGGCGUAAAGCGUGCGUAGGUGGUGGUUUAAGUCCGUUGUGAAAGCCCUGGGCUCAACCUGGGAAUUGCAGUGGAUACUGGGUCACUAGAGUGUGGUAGAGGAUAGUGGAAUUUCCGGUGUAGCAGUGAAAUGCGUAGAGAUCGGAAGGAACAUCUGUGGCGAAGGCGACUAUCUGGGCCAACACUGACACUGAGGCACGAAAGCGUGGGGAGCAAACAGGAUUAGAUACCCAGUAGUCCCUGUCUCUUAUACA